This 1084-nucleotide ribosomal RNA is filed under the name Sciara hemerobioides. RNAcentral describes it as "bacterial SSU rRNA". It matches the Rfam family "Eukaryotic small subunit ribosomal RNA", at positions 21 to 1009 of the family's 1831-position model. The record is from RNAcentral. Lineage: Eukaryota; Metazoa; Arthropoda; Insecta; Diptera; Sciaridae.
AGUUAUAUGCUUGUCUCAAAGAUUAAGCCAUGCAUGUCUAAGUACAAACAUAAAUAAAGUGAAACCGCAAAAGGCUCAUUAUAUCAGUUAUGGUUCCUUAGAUCGUAUCCACAAUUACUUGGAUAACUGUGGUAAUUCUAGAGCUAAUACAUGCAUUUAAGGAGAUUCUCAGCCUUUUGGCUGGGUUCUCUGCUUUUAUUAGAUUUAAACCAAUGGGGAGCGUUUCGGCGUUCUCAAUUAAACUGGUUGAACUCUGGAUAAUUUGUUGAUCGCAUGGUCUCGUACCGGCGACGGAUCUUUCAAAUGUCUGACCUAUCAACUAUUGAAGGUAAUGUCUUGGAUUACCUUGGUUACAACGGGUAACGGGGAAUCAGGGUUCGAUUCCGGAGAGGGAGCCUGAGAAACGGCUACCACAUCUAAGGAAGGCAGCAGGCGCGUAAAUUACCCACUCCCAGCACGGGGAGGUAGUGACGAAAAAUAACAAUACAAGACUCACAUCCGAGGCCUUGUAAUUGGAAUGAGUACACUUUAAAUCCUUUAACAAGGAUCAAUUGGAGGGCAAGUCUGGUGCCAGCAGCCGCGGUAAUUCCAGCUCCAAUAGCGUAUAUUAAAGUUGUUGCGGUUAAAACGUUCGUAGUUGAACUUGUGUUCCGCACGGGCAGUGCCAAAAAUCGGGCAACCGAAAUGGUACCUUGUCUUAUCUUCCUUGUCUUCGGAUUCGGAAAUGUGCGUGGACGUAUUAUCGGCGUGUUCGCUCUUGUAGCGUUCACAUCAGCCCAUCGCAGUGCUCUUAAACAAGUGUUGCUGUGGGCCGAUACAAAUUACUUUGAACAAAUUAGAGUGCUUAAAGCAGGCUUGUAAUGCCUGAAUAUUUUGUGCAUGGAAUAAUGAAAUAGGACAUCUGUUCUACUUUCAUUGGUUUUUUAGACCAAGAUGUAAUGAUUAAUGGAAGCAGUUGGGGGCAUUUGUAUUACAACGCGAGAGGUGAAAUUCUUAGACCGUUGUAAGACAAACUAAAGCGAAAGCAUUUGCCAAAGAUGUUUUCAUUUAAUCAAGAACGAAAGUUAGAGGUUCGAAGGCGAUC